RNAcentral lists this ribosomal RNA (253 nucleotides) under uncultured bacterium. RNAcentral describes it as "partial 16S ribosomal RNA". It matches the Rfam family "Bacterial small subunit ribosomal RNA", at positions 524 to 776 of the family's 1533-position model. The record is from RNAcentral.
UACGUAGGGGGCAAGCGUUGUCCGGAUUUAUUGGGCGUAAAGAGCGUGUAGGCGGCCAGACAGGUCCGUUGUGAAAACUCGAGGCUCAACCUCGAGAUGUCGAUGGAAACCGUCUGGCUAGAGUCCGGAAGAGGAGUGUGGAAUUCCUGGUGUAGCGGUGAAAUGCGCAGAUAUCAGGAAGAACACCUAUGGCGAAGGCAGCACUCUGGGACGGUACUGACGCUGAGACGCGAAAGCGUGGGGAGCAAACAGG